Molecule: long non-coding RNA, 496 nt
Organism: Cryptotermes secundus
Lineage: Eukaryota; Metazoa; Arthropoda; Insecta; Blattodea; Kalotermitidae
Exons: 3
Source: RefSeq, a predicted model, not a curated record
UUCACGGGGCUGCUCUGGUUAACGUUGUCGUUGGUGUUAACUUGUGUUAAGAGGAGUUGCAAGUGUUGAUGCUGCUGAAGUUGCGAUUUUAAAUCUGAGGCAUCGGUGUAUAUGCCAUACUACUGAACGUAAAGGCAUAGUGUUCCAGUUGUAACAAAAUGAGAGCGAAGUGGAGAAAGAAGCGAAUGCGGAGACUGAAGCGAAAAAGGAGGAAGAUGAGGGCUAGGUCUAAAUAAACAGCAAGUGGGGUCAAAAUAAGCAGUGAGUGACUACAGAUCACUGCCUUGCCAGAAACCAACAACACAGCGGCCAGGAGUUUCAAGCUGUAUGGAGUGUUGUUAAAAAUCUGGGAUUGCUGUAUUGACAUUGACUUUUGUAUUUGCACAUUAUCUUAGUGUCCCAUUAAUAAAGAAUAGUGACUGUACAAAUGUUCGUAGUAUGUCAAAACGAUCAACAUGGAAUAGUGGGAGCAUGAUUAGAUAUUUUGAAAAGUGAA